Globicephala melas (long-finned pilot whale) is the source of this 1031-nucleotide long non-coding RNA. RefSeq lists it as uncharacterized. Lineage: Eukaryota; Metazoa; Chordata; Mammalia; Artiodactyla; Delphinidae. The record is from RefSeq and is a predicted model, not a curated record.
UGAUCAAAACCACCAUCCUCUAAACUGAUGUCACCUAUUUACAGACUAAUAGACACAGAAGGGACCUCAGAGAUCAUCUAAUCCAAGCACCUCAUUCUACGGACAAAGCCCAGAGAGAAGAAACGAAUUCCCCAGGAUGUUCUAAGUCGGCUGGCUGCAGUGCAUGUUAACAUUAGAACACCUGGGGCAGAGCUGGCUCCCAGAUCAACAGGAGAGACUUGCCAACAAGCUUGCUUAGGGUUUCUCUGCAGUGGAAAUUUUAGGACUGAGGCCUGUUUGGAAAUACCAGAGAUAACUUGAGAAAAAAAAAAGUGGCAGUGCUUCCUAUUAGAACAAGACAGAAAACCACACAGAUCGUUUUGAAGAAGCCAAGCUUUUGACUGGACGUAAGAGGAAAUGGUGUAGAAGAGCCCCCUUCUCGCUGAGCGUACUUUGGCUUGUUUCCUUGGUCAUAAUUGGAAAAAGCUUUGUUGCUCUCCUGCCGACGUGCUCACUGCAUAACUUGGGUUCCGGUAUCAACGUGAGGAAAGGGAAAAAGCACUGAAUGCAUGUAGAAAAGGAAGUCCUUCCCUCUAUCUUUUCAACCACUAAGUAUGUUGAUUCAUUAAAGUCCAAACUUUUGCUGGCACCAGCUUGACCUCCACUGCCCUACCUUGGCUUCUCGUGAUCACCUCCAUAAAAUCUACAGAAAGAUUUUUGUCACACGUUGAAGUCAAGCACCUGCACACAUGUUGGGUGAUGGUCCGUUGGCAGCCAAGAGCGCAGUCAGAAAAGCCCUCUGCCUGCACGCAGAGCCUGAUCUUUCCUGCAGCUCUUCGUGUCCCUCAUGGCUAGGAGUUAUCUGCAGGCCAACAGAGAAGACAACAUCGCUCCUCUCAUAGCUCCGUGGAAUGUUGCUGGAUCUUUCCCUUCAUUUCAGUCAUGCUGAAACCUCUUGCUAAAUCUCCCUGAACGUGCCAUGUUUAUCUACAGAUGCUGGAUUUUUUUGUUGUUUUUCCUGGAAUGCCCUGGGCUUGAUUUCAGAAGCAGAG